RNAcentral lists this long non-coding RNA (303 nucleotides) under Oryctolagus cuniculus (rabbit). RNAcentral's name for it is "lncRNA (ENSOCUG00000037836.1)". Lineage: Eukaryota; Metazoa; Chordata; Mammalia; Lagomorpha; Leporidae. The record is from RNAcentral.
GAUUAAUCACUAGGAACAUCCUAUGGGAAAGGACUAUGGAAUAUGAAUGGCCACAACAAAGUUUUGAUUUGUGAUUUCUACAGCAACAAUCCAACUCCGGGUUUUGCUCCGUUAAUCGUGAUAAUGAUGAUGCAUUGUCCUUCCAUAUCCCUCAGGCUGCUUUCACGUUCGAUUAUGUGGAGAAGGAACAGAAGUCCUGAAGACAUAAUGAAUCAAGUUAAUCUACGUCAGACACACCUCCCAGGGCUGUGGAACUCCUCAUGUCGACUUUCCCCUGCAGAACUCCAUUUGUCUUCUUUGUGA